RNAcentral lists this RNase P RNA (574 nucleotides) under Acidobacteriota bacterium. Its description in RNAcentral is "RNase P RNA component class A". It matches the Rfam family "Bacterial RNase P class A". Rfam says of the family: Ribonuclease P (RNase P) is a ubiquitous endoribonuclease, found in archaea, bacteria and eukarya as well as chloroplasts and mitochondria. Its best characterised activity is the generation of mature 5'-ends of tRNAs by cleaving the 5'-leader elements of precursor-tRNAs. Lineage: Bacteria; Pseudomonadati; Acidobacteriota. The record is from RNAcentral.
CUGCUGGGCCGGACGGUCGCUGCCGGCCUGCGAACGCUGGCGACAGCCAGGCUGCGCAGGCGGGGAGAGGAAAGUCCGAACUCUACAGAGCGGUGUGCCGGAUAACGUCCGGGCGGUGGCGUUCAAGCGCCAUUGACGGAAAGUGCCACAGAAAAUACACCGCCCCGCCCAAUUUACUCAUUGCGGCGUGAGCCGCCGCAAUGGCGCACAAGCGUUGUUCAGGUCCCAUGGUCGCAAUGGGCUAAUUGGGCGGGGUAAGGGUGAAAUGGUGCGGUAAGAGCGCACCGCGCUGCCAGUAAUGGCGGUGGCAGGGAAAACCCCACACGGAGCAAGACCAAAUAGGGGAGGAUCCCGCCGGUUCUCCCGAUUCACACCCAGUGGCGUGAAUGGAGAGAACCGGCGGGAACGUGCCGGCUCGGUGCGUCACAACUUCCGGGUAGGUCGCUAGAGGCGAGCAGUAAUGCGCGUCCCAGAGGAAUGACCGUCCUCGCCCCUUCUUUUCCGCCAAUGCAUUUCUGCAACGCGCGGACAGGAAGGGGCGGGACAGAAUUCGGCUUACAGGCCCGGCAGCUAU